This is a long non-coding RNA of Mirounga angustirostris (Northern elephant seal), 1461 nucleotides long. RefSeq lists it as uncharacterized. The transcript has 3 exons. The record is from RefSeq and is a predicted model, not a curated record. Lineage: Eukaryota; Metazoa; Chordata; Mammalia; Carnivora; Phocidae.
CUUUGCUUUGCAUACAGCCCAUCAGGGCCUCUGAGUCUUGACCAUCCAGUUUCAACAUCUCUUGCUAAUAGACUUUGUGUCUUGGUAUUUCCUACAGAGAGAAUCCAGUCAGCCUAGCCCCAUGGGCUGAGUUACAUUUUUUUGUGGCCGGUCAACCUAUGAAUUUGUGGCUCCUGGUCAGAUGGGUCUCCUGUCCAAUCGGCUUACCUCAGAGGGCAGAGCAUGGAUAUAACAUACGGAUAGGGCUGAACAUAAGGCAGACAUCAUGAUCGCUGGGACUAGCCAUGGCAGGGAAAAAUAUGUGACAAAUUAGUUCGGUGGAUGGAAGGAGCUAAAAUAUUUCACUAGAAGACCAAAUUAUGAAGCUGAUACUUGAGUAAGAAUACCUUCGAACCUACUUUUCAAAGCCUUUUCGGAUACAAUCUGCCGUGUGCUCCCCAUGCCCACCACGGGAGGGAGGAAGCACAGAUGUCACUGUCCUCGUUUUACAGGGCGUCCCUCAUCUGACCCUGGUCUACUGUUUAAACUUCCUAGCACAGUUCAAGAAAUGUGUCACAGACAAGCGUGCAGGCAGCAUGGUGAAACGGAAAGCAAGUUGAAUCGUGAAUCAGCAGGCUUGAGCCGGAAUCCUCGAGCAGGUUGCUCCAUUUUUCUGGACUUCUGAUUCCUUCUCCGGGACUGCCAAGGUCCUUUGUGGCUUCUUCAACUGUCUGGAGGGUCAUGAGGAACGUAGAGCCUCUGGGCUCUCAUGGAACUCUAUUUUCACUUCCAUGAGGCACUUCUGCCCAUCUGCUUUUGCUCAGAGUUGGCUGUCCAGGCAUCUGUCCCCUCCACGAGGUCAGGAGACUCUUCAGAAAAGGGACCACAUAUUUAUCAGUCACAGAAAAAUCUAACAAUGGCAGCUAUCUCCCCCCUGCUGGAAAAAACAUGAACAGAUUGAUUUCUUUUCAACUUAAGGUUUUCCUCCCAUAUACUUUUCUUAAACCUAUGGUGUCUAGUUUACGAUGGUGUCUGAUUUAGCACGCUAUAUUUUUAGUCGUCUCAGUUGACUAAUUCAGUACUUCCUGGGGUUCUGCAAAGACCGCAAUGAUUUGUUUCUCCAUCCUCUUAGCAAGCUGGAGCCACACCACUGCGAACUGCAGGCUCUUUCUCUGUAAGUCACUGGAACAUCCAAAGCUCGGACACUGUCUUUGAAGCAUUUAUUUUAAUUACACUAAGGUCUUGAAACUUCAUUUUCACAUACAGGAUUUCCAGGCAUUUACCAAGUAGACAAAGUACUGGGUUGAUAUCAUUGCACUGAUGAAAUAUUAAUAUUAUUGAUAAGGCGGGACAAUGUGGCUGACUUUAUCAGACUCAUACCAUUUGCAUGAAAAGGCUGAGUUUCUUUGGCUCUUUGUUCAUUCAAGUGCACUGAAUACCUAUUUGGAUAGACUUAGGCAUUGUGUUAAUCUGUCAAUAAAA